AAUAGAUACCCCGGUAGUCCACCCGUAAACGUUGGGAACUAGUUGUGGGUCCAUUCCACGGAUUCCGUGACGCAACUAACGCAUUAAGUUCCCCGCCUGGGGGAGUACGGCCGCAAGGCUAAAACUCAAAGGAAUUGACGGGGACCCGCACAAGCGGCGGAGCAUGCGGAUUAAUUCGAUGCAACGCGAAGAACCUUACCAAGGCUUGACAUAUACGAGAACGGGCCAGAAAUGGUCAACUCUUUGGACACUCGUAAACAGGUGGUGCAUGGUUGUCGUCAGCUCGUGUCGUGAGAUGUUGGGUUAAGUCCCGCAACGAGCGCAACCCUCGUUCUAUGUUGCCAGCACGUAAUGGUGGGAACUCAUGGGAUACUGCCGGGGUCAACUCGGAGGAAGGUGGGGAUGACGUCAAAUCAUCAUGCCCCUUAUGUCUUGGGCUUCACGCAUGCUACAAUGGCCGGUACAAAGGGCUGCAAUACCGCGAGGUGGAGCGAAUCCCAAAAGCCGGUCCCAGUUCGGAUUGAGGUCUGCAACUCGACCUCAUG
RNAcentral lists this ribosomal RNA (545 nucleotides) under uncultured bacterium. Its description in RNAcentral is "bacterial SSU rRNA". It matches the Rfam family "Bacterial small subunit ribosomal RNA", at positions 777 to 1322 of the family's 1533-position model. The record is from RNAcentral.